UACGUAGGGGGCGAGCGUUGUCCGGAGUUACUGGGCGUAAAGGGCGCGCAGGCGGUCUGGCAAGUUUGGAGUGACAGUGCUCGGCUUAACUGAGCAAGGCCUUCGAAAACUGCUAGACUUGAGCACUCAAGAGGGACAUAGAAUUCCGGGUGGAGUGGUGAAAUGCGUAGAUAUCCGGAGGAAUACCAAAGGCGAAGGCAGUGUCCUGGGGAGUGUCUGACGCUCAGGCGCGAAAGCUAGGGGAGCGAACAGG
Molecule: ribosomal RNA, 253 nt
Filed under: uncultured bacterium
Lineage: Bacteria
Description: partial 16S ribosomal RNA
Rfam family: Bacterial small subunit ribosomal RNA
Source: RNAcentral